RNAcentral lists this ribosomal RNA (400 nucleotides) under uncultured bacterium. RNAcentral describes it as "bacterial SSU rRNA". It matches the Rfam family "Bacterial small subunit ribosomal RNA", at positions 356 to 773 of the family's 1533-position model. The record is from RNAcentral.
GGGGAAUAUUGCACAAUGGGCGAAAGCCUGAUGCAGCAACGCCGCGUGAGUGAAGGAGGUUUUCGGAUUGUAAAGCUCUGUCAUCUGGGACGAUAAUGACGGUACCAGAUGAGGAAGCCACGGCUAACUACGUGCCAGCAGCCGCGGUAAUACGUAGGUGGCAAGCGUUGUCCGGAAUUACUGGGCGUAAAGGGUGCGCAGGCGGACAUUUAAGUGAGAUGUGAAAGACCCGGGCUUAACUUGGGCAGUGCAUUUCAAACUGGAUGUCUGGAGUGCAGGAGAGGAAAGCAGAAUUCCUAGUGUAGCGGUGAAAUGCGUAGAGAUUAGGAAGAAUACCAGUGGCGAAGGCGGCUCUCUGGUCUGUAACUGACGCUGAGGCGCGAAAGCGUGGGGAGCAAAC